GCUUGUCUCAAAGAUUAAGCCAUGCAUGUCUAAGUAUAAACGACUUUAUACAGUGAAACUGCGAAUGGCUCAUUAAAUCAGUUAUAGUUUAUUUGAUAAUACCUUACUACUUGGAUAACCGUGGUAAUUCUAGAGCUAAUACAUGCUACACAACCCGACUUCUGGAAGGGUGGUACUGAUUAGAUACAAAACCAGCCCGGUUCGCCGGAGUCCCUGGUGAGUCAUAAUAACUGAGCGAAUCGCAUGGCCUUGCGCCGGCGAUGGUUCAUUCAAGUUUCUGCCCUAUCAGCUUUCGAUGGUAGGGUAUUGGCCUACCAUGGCGUUAACGGGUAACGGAGAAUUAGGGUUCGAUUCCGGAGAGGGAGCCUGAGAAACGGCUACCACAUCCAAGGAAGGCAGCAGG
RNAcentral lists this ribosomal RNA (403 nucleotides) under uncultured Chytridiomycota. RNAcentral's name for it is "partial small subunit ribosomal RNA". It matches the Rfam family "Eukaryotic small subunit ribosomal RNA", at positions 30 to 432 of the family's 1831-position model. Lineage: Eukaryota; Fungi; Chytridiomycota. The record is from RNAcentral.